This 1341-nucleotide ribosomal RNA is filed under the name uncultured bacterium. Its description in RNAcentral is "16S ribosomal RNA". It matches the Rfam family "Bacterial small subunit ribosomal RNA", at positions 28 to 1381 of the family's 1533-position model. The record is from RNAcentral.
GACGAACGCUGGCGGCGUGCUUAACACAUGCAAGUCGAACGGUAAGGCUCCAGCUUGCUGGGGUACACGAGUGGCGAACGGGUGAGUAACACGUGGGUGACCUGCCCUGCACUUCGGGAUAAGCCUGGGAAACUGGGUCUAAUACCGGAUAGGACCGCACCGUGAGGGUGUGGUGGAAAGUUUUUUCGGUGUGGGAUGGGCCCGCGGCCUAUCAGCUUGUUGGUGGGGUAAUGGCCUACCAAGGCGGCGACGGGUAGCCGGCCUGAGAGGGUGGACGGCCACAUUGGGACUGAGACACGGCCCAGACUCCUACGGGAGGCAGCAGUGGGGAAUAUUGCACAAUGGGCGGAAGCCUGAUGCAGCGACGCCGCGUGGGGGAUGACGGCCUUCGGGUUGUAAACUCCUUUCACCAUCGACGAAGGGUUUCUGACGGUAGAUGGAGAAGAAGCACCGGCUAACUACGUGCCAGCAGCCGCGGUAAUACGUAGGGUGCGAGCGUUGUCCGGAAUUACUGGGCGUAAAGAGCUCGUAGGUGGUUUGUCGCGUCGUCUGUGAAAUUCCGGGGCUUAACUCCGGGCGUGCAGGCGAUACGGGCAUAACUUGAGUACUGUAGGGGAGACUGGAAUUCCUGGUGUAGCGGUGAAAUGCGCAGAUAUCAGGAGGAACACCGGUGGCGAAGGCGGGUCUCUGGGCAGUAACUGACGCUGAGGAGCGAAAGCAUGGGGAGCGAACAGGAUUAGAUACCCUGGUAGUCCAUGCCGUAAACGGUGGGCGCUAGGUGUAGGUUUCCUUCCACGGGAUCCGUGCCGUAGCUAACGCAUUAAGCGCCCCGCCUGGGGAGUACGGCCGCAAGGCUAAAACUCAAAGGAAUUGACGGGGGCCCGCACAAGCGGCGGAGCAUGUGGAUUAAUUCGAUGCAACGCGAAGAACCUUACCUGGGCUUGACAUAUACAGGAUUGCGCCAGAGAUGGUGUUUCCCUUGUGGCUUGUAUACAGGUGGUGCAUGGUUGUCGUCAGCUCGUGUCGUGAGAUGUUGGGUUAAGUCCCGCAACGAGCGCAACCCUUGUCUUAUGUUGCCAGCACGUUGUGGUGGGGACUCGUAAGAAACUGCCGGGGUUAACUCGGAGGAAGGUGGGGAUGACGUCAAAUCAUCAUGCCCCUUAUGUCCAGGGCUUCACACAUGCUACAAUGGUCGGUACAGUGGGUUGCCAGUCCGUGAGGGCGAGCUAAUCCCGCAAAGCCGGUCUCAGUUCGGAUCGGGGUCUGCAACUCGACCCCGUGAAGUCGGAGUCGCUAGUAAUCGCAGAUCAGCAACGCUGCGGUGAAUACGUUCCCGGGCCU